Molecule: long non-coding RNA, 9864 nt
Filed under: Lactuca sativa (garden lettuce)
Lineage: Eukaryota; Viridiplantae; Streptophyta; Magnoliopsida; Asterales; Asteraceae
Description: long non-coding RNA (LSAT_LNC010306)
Source: RNAcentral
CUAUAUUUUCUAUUAAAGUAGCCUUCUACCAAGGCUUAACUGUUUUGUAUGCUCGUUUGUUGUAAAAGUGUGUAAUUUCCCAAGUGUAACUAUCAUUUAACAAAAUAUAGUUUAUACAUUAAAGUUUAAGUGAAAUAAUCACUAAAUAUAUGUAAUGGGUAAAUCAUUGUAGUACUGUAGUGUUGUAUUAUAGGAACUACUGCUGUACUAACUACCUUAAACCGGAUUUAUAUUAAGGUAUAAUGUGAUAAUUGCACCAUACUAUCGACUGGUAACAACGACAUACGAAUGGUCGUAAUAACGGAAUGACGUUUGGCACCCGCAGACCUGCAGGUCCGGCUGUAGCUAGCAGCAAGGUGUAGGAUAGUCAAUCCAGUAUAGAUCUAUACGCAAACUCACGCUCUCCCUCCAAGAGAAUUCUGGCUACAACUCGGGCCAUGACAUUUAAGGCAUGCUCCGAUCCAGUGGAUCACAAUUGUUAACGUAUUCUUGUAUAUGUAGUGUAAUGUUUCUCGUUCUAGUAUAGUUGUAUAUGUUCUCUUCCUAGUAUAGUUGUAUAUGUUCUCUUUCUAGUAUAGUUGUAUAUGUUCUCCUUCUAGUAUAGUUGUAUAUGUUCUCUUCCUAGUAUAGUUGUAUAUGUUCUCUUUCUAGUAUAGUUGUAUAUGUUCUCAUAGUAAUGUAAUGUAUAGACUCAUGAAUGAACUGACUCAUUGAUCUAGAAAUUGUAGUAGUAUGAUCCUGUGUUACCCCGAUGGUAACUUACUAAUGAUGUGUCUAAUACGCAUGAAUAUGGAAGUACUUUUAUGUCUAUAUAUGUAUAUUUGAUAUAUAAUUAAUAUUGAAACGACCUUCGGACGGUUACCCGAAAUCCCACCAGACCACAUCCAAAUCGAGAAAAAGGAAAUAGGGCGGAUGGCCUUCCUAAGCCCUUUAAACAUUACUUAUAUAUCUAUACAUAUAUGGGCAUGCAAUUUAUAAGAAGUAAAACAAAGUUUAAUAAAAGCAUUUGAUAAGUAAAAGAGUUUGUAAAACAUUUUGAAGUAAAACAGUUUGAUAAACAGUUUGAACAGUGAUAAAAUCAUUGGUUUUCUAGUUAUUAAUCACAUGUGAUUAAUGCAAUCACAUGUGAUUGAUUUCAAUAACUAUAAGCAUUGAACUUUUUUCCCCCCCCAUAAAGUAUUUAAAACAUUUAAAAGUAUUUCAAAGGUUAAUUAAAGGGGUAUGAACUCACUUGUGGUGAGUGGUUUGGAUUGUAGUGUCGGAUACCGUGCUAGGUGGCAAACGGAGACUUGUUCACACGCACGAGCCUAGUUAUCAUAUAAUGAGCAUAUAUAUAACUAAUUAGCCAAAUAAUAACUUAAUGAAAUAAGUUGGGACACUCAGGAACAUGUAAACACUUGGUAUAAGUGUUAUAGGUCCUAAGGGUUGCUUCUAGGUUGUUCUGGGACAAGGCUAAAGAGGUUUAAUGUACCAAAGGGCCUUAUAUAAGUGUUUACUACUCAAUAAACCCCACACAAGGAGUUUACGGUCGUAAACCCUUGAGUUUACGGCCGUGAACUCCAAUCUUGGUGGUAAUUGGUGUUUUGAAGUGUUAUUUGAUUUCUAGAAUAAGCCUAACUUGGUGGUUUAAUCCUUUGGGUAGUUUAGGGCAUAGAAAAUACUCCUUUGAGGAGUUUACGGCCAAAAGACCAUAUCCCUUAGAGUUUACGGCCGUAAACUCUCAUGGGAUGGGUGUUUUAAUUCUUUCAAGUCCCAAACAUAAGUAGGAUAAAUUCUAGGCAUUUGUUUUAAGGCUAUGGAGGACCCUAGGCACACUUUGGUGCCCUUAUUUGGUGUUUACGGCCUAUGAGCAUUCUCUUGGCCUUAAACUCCCUUUAAGGGGUGCUUUCGAUGUUUUGAAGUCCGUAAAUUAGCUAGGAUUAAAUGGGUAUUAAAGUCUAAAGCCUUAGGAGUGAUUAGGGCACCUUUAAGCCCUUGAACUUGGAGUUCACGGUCCAAGAAGUUCUUGGGCCGUGAACACCCUAAUCUAUGUGUUCUUGAUUGUUUUCUAGUCUCAAAUGAGCAUACAUAUUAUCCUAAGCUAGUUACCUAACAAGGAAAUGGGACUAGAUAGCCUUUAAGCUUCAUUUUGGAGUUUACUCCCCAAGAACGUUCUUGGGUGGUAAACUCCCGAAUCUCAUAUAUUUGACAUGCAAUCUAUGUUAUUAAGCGUAAAACAAACUUUAUAACACAACUAAAGAAGUGUACUCACGAUUUGGGAUGAAAACCCGAAGAUCCGUGAGAGAGAAAAUGGCUUUUCUCUAGUUGGAAAUGUGAAUAAUGAAUGAAUUUAGUUCAGAAAUCUAUUUAUAGUCCUGAAAUAUUUUGGCAGAAAAUAUUUUUAUUCCGGAAUUGAACUCUAACAUUAAGAAGUUUUGAAAUGCUCAAGUUUCACAAACCCAUGAGCAUCCACUCUCCUGAUAUCUCCUUAAACAUAAACCCUAAUGUACACAAACUUAUUCGGAAAAGUCUGAAAUUCAUUGAAACUGGACUAGCUUCUAUUGAAUAGCUAAUGUUCGUACAAAAUGGAAAUUUCGGGUUGNUUUUACAUUACAUUGUCUCGAAAUAUCGGGUUGUCACAUCAUCCCCCCGUUAGAUGGAAUUUCAUCUCGAAAUUAGAAUUUAAGAAAAUAAGAAGUUAUAAACAAUUAAGCGAAAAGAUGAGGGUAUUUUAGUUUCAUCUGAUCCUCGCGUUCCCAAGUGAAUUCCGGUCCUCGCUUGGCGUUCCAGCGGACCUUCACGAUCGGGAUACGACUUUGCUUCGUCUGCUUGAUCUGACGGUCCAUGAUCUCUAUCGGUUCUUCCACGAAGUUGAGGCUCUCGUUGAUCUCGAUCUCGUCGAGUGGGAUUACAAGAGUCUCGUCGGACAGACACAUUUUCAAGUUAGAUACGUGGAAUGUAGAAUGUACGUUACGAAGUGCGUCGGGUAGGUCGAGUUUGUAAGCUACAGGGCCGACUCUUGCAAGAAUCUCGAAAGGCCCUAUGUACCUCGGAUUAAGCUUCCCACGCUUUCCGAAGCGUAUCAAGCCCUUCCAGGGUGAGACUUUGAGAAGGACUCGGUCUCCCACCUGAAAUUCCAAAGGUUUUCUUCGUUUAUCAGCGUAGCUCUUCUGUCGGUCUCUAGAGGCUUUCAAUCGUUCACGAAUCUGAACGAUUUUCUCUGUCGUUUCCCGAAUGAUCUCCGGACCGGUGAGAGUACUGUCGGAAGCUUGCCCCCUGGCUAAUUGGGUAUCACCCACCUCAGCCCAGCACAGAGGGGAUCUGCACUUUCGGCCGUAGAGGGCUUCAAAUGGAGCAGCCUUGAUGCUCGUGUGAUAACUGUUAUUAUAGGAAAACUCGACAAGGGGUAAAUGAGUAUCCCAUGCCUUUCCAAAGUCAAUCACACAGGCUCUCAACAUAUCUUCCAGUGUUUGGAUGGUCCUCUCACUUUGUCCGUCGGUCUACGGAUGGUAGGUUGUGCUCAUGUCCAGCCGUGUUCCUUGGGAGUGUUGUAGUGAUUGCCAGAAUCUUGAGGUGAACCUACUAUCUCUAUCGGAGAUAAUGGACAUAGGUACACCAUGUAGCCAUACGAUUUCCCUAAUGUAUGUUCUCGUAAGCUUCUCCAUCUUGUCAGUUUCUUUGAUAGGUAGGAAGUGUGCAGACUUGGUCAAUCUAUCGACGAUGACCCAUAUGGUAUCAAGUCCACCCGUUGUCUUGGGCAACUUGGUUAUGAAAUCCAUAGUGAUCCGCUCCCACAUCCAUUCUGGAAUCUCUGGUUGUUGCAGUAAACCGAAGGGCUUCCGAUACUCGACCUUAACCUUUGCGCAAGUAAGGCAUUUACUUACGAAUGUAGCAAUCUCUGCUUUCAUAUUAGGCCACCAGUAUAGCUUUUUAAGAUCUAGAUACAUCUUAUCUGAACCUGGGUGGAUGGAAUACCGAGUGUUGUGCGCCUCGGUCAUGACCAAGUCUCGGAAACCACCGUGUUUCGGUGUCCAGAUCCGGUUCAUGAAAUAUAAGGCCCCACCACCCUUGAUUUCUAGGCUUUUAUCCAUUCCUCUAAGGGAUUCACUCGUCACAUUUUCAGGUUUCAUGGCUUCAAGUUGGGCCGCCUGAAUUUGUUUAGACAAGUGUGAAUGGAUAGUUAUUGACAAUGACUUGACCCUGCGACUAGAGUAUUCCUUCCGACUUAGGGCGUCUGCUACUACGUUGGCUUUACCCGGAUGAUAACGAAUAUCGUAUUCAUAGUCACUGAGUAGCUCAACCCACCUUCGUUGUCUCAUGUUGAGCUCCUUCUGAUCGAAAAUGUGUUGUAAACUCUUGUGGUCGGUAAAGAUAGUGCUUUUCUUUCCGUACAAGUAAUGUCUCCAGAUCUUUAGCACAAACACAACUGCCCCUAGUUCAAGAUCGUGGGCCGUGUAGUUAACUUCGUGCGUUUUCAGCUGUCUCGAGGCGUAGGCGAUGACCUUACCUCGCUGCAUUAGAACACACCCGAGUCCUUGAUUCAAUGCACCGCAAUAGACUACGAAGUCUUCUAUUCCUUCGGGAAGGGAUAGUAUUGGUGCGGUGCACAAGGCUCGCUUGAUUGUUUGGAAUGCUCUCUCAUGUCUCUCUUCCCAGUCAAAGGCCACACUUUUCUGGGUCAGGGUUGUCAGAAGUUUCGCUAUUCGGGAGAAGUUCUGUAUGAACCUGCGGUAGUAGCCAGCGAGGCCUAGAAAUUGACGAAUUUCUGUAGGCGUCUUCGGUGCUGACCAGUUCUCAAUGGCUUUAAUUUUGGAUAGGUCCACGUGGAUUCCCUCUUCGCUUACCACGUGUCCUAAGAAUUUGACUCUUCGGAUCCAAAAUUCACAUUUCGAGAACUUCGCAUAAAGUUUCUCCUUUCGCAAUGUCCCUAGAACUUGUCGCAGGUGAUCGCCAUGCUCUUCUUUACUUCGGGAGUAGAUCAGGAUGUCAUCAAUGAAAACGAUGACGAACUGAUCCAAGUAAGGUCGGCAUACUCUAUUCAUCCGGUCCAUGAAGACUGCGGGCGCAUUGGUCAAUCCGAAUGGCAUCACCACAAACUCGUAGUGUCCGUAACGAGUUCGGAAGGCUGUCUUCGGCACAUCCUCUUCUAGUACUCGUAACUAGUGAUAUCCGAAUCUCAGAUCAAUUUUGGAAAAAUAGUUCGCUCCUUGCAGUUGGUCAAAUAGAUCGUCUAUGCGAGGCAGAGGGUAACGAUUUUUGACCGUCAGUUUGUUGAGUUCUUUGUAGUCAAUACACAUACGGAAUGAUCCGUCUUUCUUCUUAAUGAACAAGACCGGUGCUCCCCAAGGUGAGAAACAUGGUCUUAUAAAGCCCUUGCUGAGCAGUUCGUUAAGUUGAACAGAGAGUUCCUGCAUCUCAGUUGGUGCUAAACGGUAGGGCGACUUGGCUACUGGGGUAGCUCCUGGGACUAAGUCGAUUCUGAACUCGACCUGUCGCUGCGGAGGUAAUCCAGGUAGCUCUUCUGGGAAAAUGUCGGGGAAGUCGCUCACUACUGGGAUGUUCUUUAGUUCUUUCGGUUCGAGGCUAGUAUCGACGACGUGAGCAAGGAAUGCAUGGUAUUCUUUACGCAGAUACUUUUGUGCUUGAAUACUUGAUAUCAUACGAAGACUCGCACCAGGUUUGUCGCCGUAGACGAUAAGAGUUUCGUUAGACGGAAGGUUUAGACGGACUGCUUUCUCGUAGCACAUGAUGUCGGCGCGAUGAAGACUUAACCAUUCCAUGCCGAUGAUAACGUCGAAGCUUUUUAUUGAGACCGACAUGAGGUCGAUUGGGAAUGAAUGGUUAUCUAUAGUUAGCGUACAACUUAAGUAUAUGCUAUUCGUACUUUCUAUUUUUCCAUUAGCCAUUUCUACUGUGAAUUGUUCUUUGAGUGCGUGUGGUGGUUGUUUAAGCAUGCGAGCAAAUUUAUGGUUUACGAAGCUUCGCUCUGCUCCACUAUCGAACAGAAUGCAUGUAUAGGAGUUAUCGAGGAGGAACGUACCAGUCACCACUGUCGGGUCAGCAAUUGCUUCCCCAUGGCCUAUAGCUAGUACCCUUCCUGCUCCACCAGCAUUCUUUGCUUUGGGGCAGUCCCUCUUAUAGUGGCCUACUUCGUCACAUCCAUAGCAGGUCGGGCUCGUGCCAGAGCCGGGGACUUGGGUGAUCGGCUUCGCCGGGAAUUUACAGAAACGGACGGUGUGUCCUUUCCUGUUGCAGUUAGAGCACUGCAUUUCACAGCAGGGGCCGUUGUGGUGGAAGUUGCAUUUGUUUCACUUAGGCAAACUUCCAGCAUACUGCCUCACCGGAGCAGUAGCAGCAGCAGGGGUUAUCCGGACAUGUACAACCAUAAUUUGCUGCUUUUUGGCAGCUCGCUGUCUCUUCUUCUCUUCCCAGAAUUUCCGCUUAGUGUCAGCGGGUUUGGAGUGUUCCGGGAUGGUUAGGGUGGUUGCUGUUGCAGAGGUUUUGACUCCAUGGUCAAUGAGUCGCUGUGCCAGUCGCUUGGCACUGUCGAAGGUAGCGGGGUUUGAUGUUGGGACAUUACCCUGAUACGGAGGCACUAACCCCCAUAUGUACCUUUCGAUCUUUUUCCCUUCAGUGGGAACAAUAUUGGGGCAGAGGGCCACCAGUUCGUUGAAUCUAGCGGUAUAAGCAACCAUGUUGGUGCCCUUCAUGGUCAGGCUCCAAAGCUCUUGCUCCAAUUUCUGGACUUCGCCCCAUGGGCAGUAUUCCUCAAUCAUGAGGUCUUUCAUCGUUUCCCAGCCCAUGUCGUUGGCUAUGACGAGGGUUAGAGCUUUAACGUGGUCGUUCCACCAUGUCAGGGCCUUUCCCUCAAAGGUGCAUGCGGCAUAUUUGACUUUGCUCGCAGUUGGGCAUGAAUAGAUUUCGAAGACUGAUUCAGUCUUCUCGACCCAUUGCGAGAGGGAAAUGACUCCGCCGGUGCCAUGGAAGGGCAUCGACUUAUAGUUGGUGAAAUCCUUGUAGGAACACUCUCUCGAGCGCACAGGGGUUUCAACCGGAAUUGAUUCCACAUGGGUUCCACCUCUACUGGCAUCAGAUGAGUGAUACUGAGCCAUGGCAGUUGCCACUGCUGCAGCUACGGCAGCAUUCAGGGCUGCAGUAUCGAUGACCAGAGGCGGAGGAGGCGGUGGAGGUGCAGGGUUAUUCCGGGUAGAUUUGCGAGGAGGCAUCUUUCAGUUAUAAGUUUAUAAAGAUGAGAAAAAUGGUAAGAAUCAAUUUGUAAGCAACGUGAGAGUGAUGCAUGGACUAACUAACCAUAGCCCAACAGUUGAAUGAGUGUUUGAGAUCACAACAAGGAAUAUUAGUAGGAAACACAAAUGUAUAGAUUCUUCCCACAGAUUAGAUAGAUGUCAAUAAUACUGGUAUUACCGAUGUAAUAAGUUCAGGGAAAAUCGACCAAACAGUAGGUCUUACAUCAUACCAUACGAAAAAGUUUGAUGGUUCCUAGAUUCCUAAUUUGAGUACUGAAAGUUAGGAAUAUUUUACAGAUAUGUGCUACUUAGAGCACAGAUGUUAAAGGCUAUUCAUUAACCAAAAGAUAGAGAUGUACUAGACAUCAUCUAACAGCGAUGAGAAUUCCUCGGGCGAGUCCUGAGGUCUGACACUUGACGAAACACCUCUUGAAGGUGUCGCUCCUAAGUCCUCUGGCGGGUUCGAAGUUCCAAGACUUUAGCUCGGGAGGCAGCUAGCUGUUGCUGCAGGGUUUCAAUGGUUCUCCGGGUCCAUUCCAUGUCUUCCUCAAGACGGCGGAUGCGGACUGUGUUGACACCUGAGUUGGCAUCAAUCUCCAUGACCCGGUCGAUGAUUGCUUGACCUUGCUCAACAUUACGAGCUAUUCUGCGGAUAAUGACGGGCAAAGCUCGGUCAGCAGAACCACCUUCACUGACGUUGUAAAAUCUUCGGUCCCCAAAGUAUGGUAAGGGUUGACCCUGUUCGUCACUCCAGCGAUUCAAGUUGGUUUCCCACAAGGGUGUAGGACCUGGAAAAGCUGGUCGGGGGUUGUUGUUCGGGCUUGACCUACUAGCGGUAGGUUGUUGACUUCAGGCUCGGAGUUGGAUCCAUCAGAAAAGCCUUCUGCGAGGUGAUCAUCCAAAGGGAUUGGAUGCUCAUCUUCGGGCUCUUCUUCGAUCCACCCGGCAUUGCCUUCAUUUGGAAAGUACGGGUCGCCGUGAUGGAAUCCAUCCAUUUAAAUCUAUGCGAGAAGAGAGGUAUAAGAAUAUAGUAUACAUGUAGCUAGUAGUACGAAAUACACCUAUAGUAUUUUAAGUUUAAGUUAUGCUGAUCUUCUUGUGGUAUUGUUGGUAAGUUUUUAGACUUGUUAACACAUCACAACCAUUCUAGGGCAUAAGCUAAUCACUCCUCGGGCCAACAUAGUUGAUCAGGCUAUGCCAUUCCCAGGACUGACCAUACAUCCCCGAGCUCACUUGUGAUAUUUAACAAUUGUAAUACUUUUGUUCUUGUCAUUGUGACACUGAUUUUAGUAUGAAUGCAGACUAGUAUACUUAAUUAAAUAUUUUAAUAUUUAAAGUAUAGACUCUUGGUCAGAGUGCUUUAAUCCCUAAUGGGUUUAUAGUUUAGUAUAUCUUUUAUGGGUUGAUAUACUUGAUUCACUAUAAACAAUGCUCUGAUACCAAUCUGUCACACCCCAAAACCAAGAACGGCGGAAACGUUCUGGGGCGGAGGACGUCAUGUAAAGUAUCACAACACAGUAAAUGUAAAUAAGCAAACAACAUCAUCCAUUGCAUUAAAUAUAUAAUUUUAAUACAAGCGUGUUCUGUACANNNNNNNNNNNNNNNNNNNNNNNNNNNNNNNNNNNNUGUCACACCCCAAAACCAAGAACGGCGGAAACGUUCUGGGGCGGAGGACGUCAUGUAAAGUAUCACAACACAGUAAAUGUAAAUAAGCAAACUACAUCAUCCAUUGUAUUAAAUAUAUAAUUUUAAUACCAGCGUGUUCAAUACAGUUUUAGACACCAAAAAUAUAAUGUAAAUCAAAAUAAUAAGUUGAGUCUUGUAUGCGCUCCAUCUUCUCAAAAGCUGGCCUCGGUACCUGUCUACUGAUGACCUGACAAUACAAGUUAUUUUGAAAGAGUUUAUCAGCAUUAAGCUGGUGAGUUCAUAAGUAUUUUAGUGUCGAUGUUUGUUACCAAAAUGUUUGAACAUGUCUCAAGUGUAAGUUUGUAAAAUGUAAGUAAAUGUUUGUAAGUGUUUGUAAAAGUUUGAAUCUCUCAGAAAAACCUAUAUUUUCUAUUAAAGUAGCCUUCUACCAAGGCUUAACUGUUUUGUAUGCUCGUUUGUUGUAAAAGUGUGUAAUUUCCCAAGUGUAACUAUCAUAUAACAAAAUAUAGUUUGUACAUUAAUGUUUAAGUGAAAUAAUCACUAAAAAUAUGUAAUGGGUAAAUCAUUGUAGUACUGUAGUUUUGUAUUAUAGGAACUACUGCUGUACUAACUACCUUAAACCGGAUUUAUAUUAAGGUAUCAUGUGACUAAUUGCACCAUACUAUCGACUGGUAACAACGACAUACGAAUGGUCGUAAUAACGGAAUGACGUUUGGCACCCGCAGACCUGCAGGUCCGGCUGUAGCUAGCAGCAAGGUGUAGGAUAGUCAAUCCAGUAUAGAUCUAUACGCAAACUCACGCUCUCCCUUCAAGAGACUCUGUCUACAACUCGGGCCAUGGCAUUUAAGUCAUGCUCCGAUUCAUAUCACAAUAAUGAACGUAUUCUAGUAUAUGUAAUGUAAUGAACUGUUCUAGUAUAGUUGUAUAUGUUCUUCCUCUAGUAUAGUUGUAUAUGUUCUUCCUCUAGUAUAGUUGUAUAUGUUCUUCCUCU